AUUGAACGCUGGCGGCAUGCUUUACACAUGCAAGUCGAACGGUAACAGGCCGCAAGGUGCUGACGAGUGGCGAACGGGUGAGUAAUGCAUCGGAACGUGCCCAGUCGUGGGGGAUAACGCAGCGAAAGCUGCGCUAAUACCGCAUACGAUCUAUGGAUGAAAGCGGGGGGACCGUAAGGCCUCGCGCGAUUGGAGCGGCCGAUGUCAGGAUUAGGUAGUUGGUGGGGUAAAGGCUCACCAAGCCGACGAUCUGUAGCUGGUCUGAGAGGACGACCAGCCACACUGGGACUGAGACACGGCCCAGGACUCCUACGGGAGGCUG
This 322-nucleotide ribosomal RNA is filed under the name uncultured Pseudomonadota bacterium. RNAcentral's name for it is "bacterial SSU rRNA". It matches the Rfam family "Bacterial small subunit ribosomal RNA", at positions 30 to 351 of the family's 1533-position model. The record is from RNAcentral. Lineage: Bacteria; Pseudomonadati; Pseudomonadota.